GACGAACGCUGGCGGCGUGCUUAACACAUGCAAGUCGAGCGGUAAGGCCCUUUCGGGGGUACACGAGCGGCGAACGGGUGAGUAACACGUGGGUGACCUGCCCUCAGCUCUGGGAUAAGCCCGGGAAACCGGGUCUAAUACUGGAUAUGACUCCAUGACGCAUGUUGUGGGGUGGAAAGCCUUGUGCGGCUGAGGAUGGGCCCGCGGCCUAUCAGCUUGUUGGUGGGGUGAUGGCCUACCAAGGCGACGACGGGUAGCCGGCCUGAGAGGGCGACCGGCCACACUGGGACUGAGACACGGCCCAGACUCCUACGGGAGGCAGCAGUGGGGAAUCUUGCGCAAUGGGCGAAAGCCUGACGCAGCGACGCCGCGUGAGGGAUGACGGCCU
This 388-nucleotide ribosomal RNA is filed under the name uncultured bacterium. RNAcentral describes it as "bacterial SSU rRNA". It matches the Rfam family "Bacterial small subunit ribosomal RNA", at positions 28 to 417 of the family's 1533-position model. The record is from RNAcentral.